RNAcentral lists this ribosomal RNA (274 nucleotides) under uncultured bacterium. Its description in RNAcentral is "partial 16S ribosomal RNA". It matches the Rfam family "Bacterial small subunit ribosomal RNA", at positions 523 to 796 of the family's 1533-position model. The record is from RNAcentral.
AUACGGAGGGUGCAAGCGUUACUCGGAAUCACUGGGCGUAAAGCGCGCGCAGGCGGCUAUUUAAGUUAGAAGUGAAAGCCUACGGCUCAACCGUAGAACUGCAUCCAAAACUGUCAGUCUAGAGUCUGGGAGGGGAAGAUGGAAUUAGUUGUGUAGGGGUAAAAUCCGUAGUGAUAACUAGGAAUACCAAAAGCGAAGGCGAUCUUCUGGAACAGUACUGACGCUGAGGCGCGAAAGCGUGGGGAGCAAACAGGAUUAGAAACCCUGGUAGUCC